CAGUCGCCGCGGGAAUACGUAGGUGGCAAGCGUUGUCCGGAGUUAUUGGGCGUAAAGGGCUCGCAGGCGGUUUCUUAAGUCUGAUGUGAAAGCCCCCGGCUCAACCGGGGAGGGUCAUUGGAAACUGGGAAACUUGAGUGCAGAAGAGGAGAGUGGAAUUCCACGUGUAGCGGUGAAAUGCGUAGAGAUGUGGAGGAACACCAGUGGCGAAGGCGACUCUCUGGUCUGUAACUGACGCUGAGGAGCGAAAGCGUGGGGAGCGAACAGGAUUAGAUACCCCGGUAGUCCCUGUCUCUUAUAC
Molecule: ribosomal RNA, 301 nt
Filed under: uncultured bacterium
Lineage: Bacteria
Description: partial 16S ribosomal RNA
Rfam family: Bacterial small subunit ribosomal RNA
Source: RNAcentral